RNAcentral lists this ribosomal RNA (253 nucleotides) under uncultured bacterium. RNAcentral's name for it is "partial 16S ribosomal RNA". It matches the Rfam family "Bacterial small subunit ribosomal RNA", at positions 524 to 776 of the family's 1533-position model. The record is from RNAcentral.
UACGUAGGGUGCGAGCGUUGUCCGGAAUUAUUGGGCAUAAAGGGCUCGUAGGCGGUCUGUUGCGUCAGGAGUGAAAACUCGGGGCUUAACCCCGAGCCUGCUUCUGAUACGGGCAGACUAGAGGUAUGCAGGGGAGAACGGAAUUCCUGGUGUAGCGGUGAAAUGCGCAGAUAUCAGGAGGAACACCGGUGGCGAAGGCGGUUCUCUGGGCAUUACCUGACGCUGAGGAGCGAAAGUGUGGGGAGCGAACAGG